Molecule: long non-coding RNA, 517 nt
Filed under: Vigna radiata
Lineage: Eukaryota; Viridiplantae; Streptophyta; Magnoliopsida; Fabales; Fabaceae
Description: long non-coding RNA (VRAD_LNC015748)
Source: RNAcentral
ACAAUGGAAAGAAGCAUUAAAAAUAGAGAGAGACAAAAGAAAAUGAAACAUAGAAAUAUGGGUUCACCAUUAAAAUGGUUAAGUUGUUUGGGUGAUGAUAUCAAAGAGAGAAAGAAACAACAUAACUGUUAAUAACAAAUGCUUGUUGGAUAAAUAUAAACCAGAACAUCAAAUUCGUGUAGGAGAUUGGAGUGAGUAGAAGUUAAAAAAUAUUAACCCGAAAAAAUAAAAUUGUACUGAAAAGUAAAACAAAAAUAGAAAAGUGGAGGGAGGGAUAAAACAGGAAUGAAGAGAUGGAGGGAGAAAGGGGUGGUGGUGGAGAGAACAACACUCCAUACACUUAACAAAAAUGGAAAUGGUCCAAAGACCAGUUGAUUUUCCUAUUAGAAUGAUUUAAUGGGUUAGAAAAUGACAGAUGUUAGACAUUGGAAAAGAAUAAAAGGAAACUGGUUCAUAGACACCUUUAGCUAUUCGUUAUGGUAUUCAAUGCAUUUAACGAGUUACAAAAAAUAAUUCG